Molecule: unclassified non-coding RNA, 380 nt
Filed under: uncultured Actinomycetes bacterium
Lineage: Bacteria; Bacillati; Actinomycetota; Actinomycetes
Description: uncultured actinobacterium contains 16S-23S intergenic spacer region
Source: RNAcentral
UCCGAGUUGACCCCGGCAGUAUCCCAUGAGUUCCCACCAUUACGUGCUGGCAACAUAGGACGAGGGUUGCGCUCGUUGCGGGACUUAACCCAACAUCUCACGACACGAGCUGACGACAACCAUGCACCACCUCUAUGGCGGUCCCCGAAGGGAAGACCCUAUUUCUAGGGCUGUCCACCACAGUUCAAGCCCAGGUAAGGUUCUGCGCGUUGCAUCGAAUUAAACCACAUGCUCCGCCGCUUGUGCGGGCCCCCGUCAAUUCCUUUGAGUUUUAGCCUUGCGGCCGUACUCCCCAGGCGGGGCGCUUAAUGCGUUAGCUACGGCACGGAUUCCGUGGAAGGAACCCACACCUAGCGCCCACCGUUUACGGCGUGGACUAC